CGAUUACGGCUCAGUAACACGUAGCUAACCUACCCUUAAGUCAAGGAUACCCUCGGGAAACUGAGACUAAUACUUGAUAGGAGAUAUGCCCUGGAAAGACUUAUCUCUGAAACUCGUGCUUAAGGAUGGGGCUGCGGCGGAUUAGGUUGUUGGCGGGGUAAUAGCCCACCAAGCCAAAGAUCCGUAAGGGCUCUUAGCGGAGAGGCCCUGAGAGGAAAUCUGAGACACCAUUUCCAGCCCCACGGGGUGCAGCAGUUAGGAAUAUUUUGCAAUGCGCGUAAGCGUGACAAAUUGAACCAGAGUGAUUUUCAAAUUUGAAAGUCUUUUAUGAAAUGUAAAAAGUUUCACGAAUAAGGACUGGGUAAGACUAGUGCCAGCCGCCGCGGUAAUACUAGCGGUCCAAGUCGCAGCCAUUUUUAUUGGGUCUAAAACAUCCGUAGCUUGUUUGAUAAGUUUCUUGUGAAAUUUCGUAUCUCAAAUACGAAGCGUGCAAGAAAUACUGUCAAGCUAGAGACUGGAAGACGUGAGAAGUACGUUCUAAAGUAAUGGUAAAAUAUGUUAAAUCUAGAACGGACUCAC
Molecule: ribosomal RNA, 579 nt
Filed under: uncultured euryarchaeote
Lineage: Archaea; Methanobacteriati; Methanobacteriota
Description: bacterial SSU rRNA
Rfam family: Archaeal small subunit ribosomal RNA
Source: RNAcentral